AGAGGGGGCAAGCGUUAUUCGGAAUUAUUGGGCGUAAAGGGCGCGUAGGCGGCCUUGCAAGUGACGGGUGAAAUCCCUCGGCUUAACCGAGGAACUGCCUGUCAAACUGCGAGGCUUGAGACCGGGAGAGGUGAGUGGAAUUCCCAGUGUAGCGGUGAAAUGCGUAGAUAUUGGGAGGAACACCAGUGGCGAAGGCGGCUCACUGGACCGGUACUGACGCUGAGGCGCGAAAGCGUGGGGAGCAAACAGGAUUAGAUACCCUGGUAGUCCACGCCGUAAACGAUGAGUGCUUGGUGUAGCGGGUAUCGACCCCUGCUGUGCCGAAGUCAACACAUUAAGCACUCCGCCUGGGGAGUACGGUCGCAAGGCUG
This 371-nucleotide ribosomal RNA is filed under the name uncultured bacterium. RNAcentral's name for it is "bacterial SSU rRNA". It matches the Rfam family "Bacterial small subunit ribosomal RNA", at positions 527 to 896 of the family's 1533-position model. The record is from RNAcentral.